UUACAAUCAAGGAGAACCUUCUCCAUUUAGUUGGGCCAUUGGCCAUAUAUAUAUUCAUGUAAUCGCUGGACAAAGGGCAAGCAAGAAUUAUAUUCCUAAUCCUCCCUUCUCUGUUAAGCCUACGGUUGAGGGGUAUAACCUCACCGGAGAAGACGGCCGCCGGCUACGAGUUGCGUAGUCGCGAUCCGGCCAGUCGGGGGCUCGACGCCCUUGACA
RNAcentral lists this long non-coding RNA (216 nucleotides) under Setaria italica (foxtail millet). Its description in RNAcentral is "long non-coding RNA (SITA_LNC000414)". The record is from RNAcentral. Lineage: Eukaryota; Viridiplantae; Streptophyta; Magnoliopsida; Poales; Poaceae.